AAUGCACUUUAUUGAGUGCCAACAACAUCAGUAUGUGAUAGAUGGAGAGGAAAAAAGAAACAAAGGAUAGACAGAAAAAGGAAAGGGGGGAAUAGCUACCAAUGUAGAGAUGACAUCCUCGUGGUCACUGCCAAUAGAUCUGUCUUCUUCCAUUGGGGAGAUCUCAGAAUUGGUAAAGUUGUGGUGCUUUUUAGAGUCUUUUUCAAAGCGACAGGCAGUCUGCCAAGAGGUGGGGAGAAACCUGGGGUCCAUUGAGGGAACAGGUACAGGUACAAUCGGUACAGCAAAGGUACAGGACAGACCAGUCUGGCAGGGAGCACGGUCAAUCCACCGUGAAGUCCCAUUGUUUCGCAUGUACCAGCUCUUGGUCACGCCCGCGGGUGGAACCUGGCACACAUCCCACCUCAGUCCAGGCCAGAACUCCUGUGUUGGGGGGAGUCUUUCAGUCUCUGUCCUUACGGCGGUCGUGAGGCAGAUGAAAACUUCGGACCGUCACUUACAACCAUUUUGGUUUGUCUGGUCUUUCUGGGGUUCUUCACUAUCAGCGAAGAAAAAAAGUUGUUCUGCUUCUGUUAUUUUAAAACCUCGUUUCAAUGGACUGGGUAGAAAAUCUUGUGCAUGGUCGAUAGUAGUUUAAGAGUGAUAACCACUCCACCCGCUUCCACCUCUUCAGGCAUCUGUCCCCUGAGUUAAAUCCUCACCAGAAGGAUACAUAUCCUGUUGCCAUCAUACCCCAAAUGGAACCUAACUGCAGCAAAGAGUCCCGAGCACAUCACCACAAACACCAAGAUCAGCACUCCAAGCAGCACAGCUUGAGAAACACGAACACCUUUGGGCAAGCGAGGCCUGAACACCACCACCAGCCACACUCAGCAAGUGGCAGCAACACUGCUUUCCCAAGGCAGACUUAAAAAAAUCAAAGAGAGAACUAAAAUUCAUAGCUAGACUUCAUAGCAAAAAACUACAGACUUGGCAGCAACACUGGCUGCCCAGAAUAUCACAGCUUUUCCUGACGGGUUUUUUAUUGCUCGUACUCCGUCUUUACACAGCAGAGGCCGUGGCUCUGUCAUGUCUCCUCUUCCAAACUUUCCUUUGUACCACAGAGGUGCGAACUCUCUACUCCUUUAAAGCUGUUAACUGGUGAAACUCAGCAAGUACUGCCUGCCUGAAGCGUGCUGCGUUCUCUCAGACCUGCGGAGGUGCCCGUGUGCUCCAGCCCUCACCCUUCUCUCCGGGCGCACUCGCUGGUGUGGAAGAGCUGCUGCCUCUGCAAACUCGACCCUACCAGCACUCCCAGACUCUUACAGCUACACCCCCACAAAUACUGCUGCUGCUGUAGGGGGCUGUUCUAUCUGUGAGAAGUGUCAGUCUGUCUUUAUUCCUAAUGAGGAGCUGGAAGUGCAGGGCGGCUCAGGUGGGAAGGGGCCCCAGGGGGUCUCCAGCCCAGCCUCCUCUCCGCCGCUCGGCUGUGAGAUGGGGUGGAUUUAAUGAUACUGCCUGCCGGUAGGAUGGGGCUGAGCUUUAAAGAAGGAAUACAAAGGCAGAAAUGCUUUAAAGAGCUUUUUGUGUGUGCAGGUGUUGCACGACCGAGGCAUUGUGUCUGUGUGGACCCCUGGUCAAAUUAAUACAUUCCACUUUUUCUCUCCCUCGUGGGUCCAUAUUGGGUAGGAAAACCACAAGACACAUCGAAUUGUUUCCUGCCAACCUGUAUUAAUGCUGAUGUAGACUGAGAUGCCGAGAUAUGACUGUUGGCUUUUCCUAAUUGGAAUGCUGCUUUCAGAUCUCCUGUCCCACAUCCUACAUGCAUAUUCAGUUUCGUCUCAGAGGAAAGCUCCUUUCUCCUCUGAAACUGUUUUUUUUUUUUUAUCUUUCCAGAUUUAUUUCCUAGGAACCUUGAAAGCAUGAAUACAUUACAGAAACAUUACCAAGAAUCCAAAGGCUUUGGACGCUUUGUGCUUUAAUUUUCUUUUGCUGCAGUUCCCAAUGUGAGUAUUUAUGGCCCUUGAAUGCCAUCCAGUGGUGGAAAAGCAGGGCAUCUCCCAGCCUGCUGAGAAACCGCCUCCAGAUACGGCAAGUUCACACGGAAAAUUAUUUUUACAUUAACAGCUUAUCAUUCUCAUGCCCUAUUUGUAGUGAGAUCAGAAACUAUAAAAAUAUAUUUUAUAUGGCAGGGCACAUCGACAGAAAAGCCAUCUGGCGUUUCACAGUUCUUUAAAAUGUGAGACAGAAAUAGACUGUAUUUAUAAUUUGAAUUAUAAUUGGCUUUAAAGCUCAAGCUUCAAACAACUGCAAGGGCUGACUUUUUCAUCUUCAUCAUGAUUUUUAAGGCAGGAUUUUCUCUUGGGAUUUGCUUGCUCAAGAGAGCUAAAGUGUGAGCUGCCAUGGAGGGAGACAGCUUUGUUAACUAUUUCCACGCAGGGCUUUGGAACAGCUGGGUGUUUUGGAAACUUAACAUGCAGAGAUUGCAAGAUAUGCCUUGUUGAGAGUACAUUGUUACUCAAGUGAUAGCACUUUCUACCUUUCCUAUGGUGUGGAUUCAGUAGGUAUUUGAUUCUAUGCAAUUACAAAAACACAGACUGCAGAUAACAAAGACUGGAUCCAUCAACAAAGCCAAUUCAGUCUGUCAAAUAAACACCAGCUUUGUUUGGAAGUCAGAAAUGUAUUUUGAAGGUUUUUUUAAUUAAAAGACCUGAAACAACAAACAUAUAGGAUAAGUGCAGUUCUUCAAAUAGUUGUCAUGGCUCAAUCCUUAAACCACAAUUUAAAGUCACAUUUCACUGUUUUCUCUCCUCACACAGUUUCUGCUUUUUCCCACCGCUGCCAUUUAAUGAUGGCAAUAUAGAAUGAACAAAGAGGAAAUGGCUGGAAAAACAGAAGAAAAAGGUUUCAAAAAGCCACUCUAAAGUAACAAGAAAACCCCACCAAAUCCUCAUUUGCUUACUUCUGACAUAGAAGAGCAUCUUCUUUUUUCUGUCUCUGCAAAACUGAAUUUUCGUUCCUUUAGGAUUCAAUACAUUGGAGGUUUUUUAUUAUUAUUAUUUUCAACACUCUCUGCCCAGUCACUUCUGAUUUUCAGUAAGAUUAUUGCCCAGAUUUCUUGUGCUUCAGUGGGAUUCUCCGUUUGCACCCUGAGUUGUGACCAGUUAUGGUGCCUGUUGCUAAACCACCAACUCAACAGUGAAGGUCAACCCUUGUUCUGAAGGCUCCACAUGUACCUUCUGAGGCUUCUACGUGUACCUUCCUCACAGAUUGCCUUGCAAGGAUUUGGGGUGCAGAGUUUAACGGAUAUUCAUGGUCUUCCACUUAAUAAUUCUCUUCUCCCUGGCUGCUGUUGGACAGUACCAGAGCAGAUUCCAGCUGCUUGGACAUCCAUACUGAUGGCCUGUUGGGAUACCCAGGAUACUGUGUCCAUUUAUUCCAUGUAGCAUGAAUCCCAGGUGUGGUUCAAGAGAGAACACUUGGACUGUUCCAGUAUGGUUCCUGUUUUGGAGGGAAAGUUUGGAGACAGACAGAGAACUCCUGAGCUCGCCCUAGGAGCUGGAAGCAAGGACUAGUGGUGUUAGUUGGCUAGGUGUCUGUACCUUUUAUGCACAGGUCCUGAGCUUCUAGAAUAUAGUACUCAAAUAUCUCCUGGAUCGCAAACACUGCUUAUAGUUACACUUGGCAUUGGCCUUAAUGGCUGCUCAGUCCUUAGCUGUUGUAAUGAGGCACAAAAUAAAUUUUCAUUUCAUCCUGAGGGUUUAAAACAAUUUGCAUAUUUGUGAGGAUUGCUAUGGGUUGGGGACUAUGGCAUCAGAAAUGCCUCUGAAUUCCCUAGAUAAAAAUUUCAGGAAAACUAUUGCAGCAACAGUGGCUUACAUUUUGGGAUUCACACCCCAAGUAUACCUGUCACUGAACACUAAUCCCAGGAAAGAGGUAUCACCCAGCUCUGUUGGUGUUACUUUUCUUCACUCUUUGCUCUGACAGACAUAUUCCCAAUGCCUUUUGCAUUAGGAUUUUCCAUACAUGUCUCUUGAUGACGCAAAUUGCAUCUCUCUUUUAUCUGCCACAUCUCUCAAAGAACAAAGUGCUCUUAGAAACAAGGAUUCAUAGCAGUUCUCCAAGUGCUGAAAAAUAAGCACAGAUCAAACCUCAAAAUUUAAGAAUGUAGUGUAAAAGUAAUUAAAUUAUUCACAGCAAUAGUUUGUAAGUUUAUUUGCUUGCUAGUUUUAUAGCCCUUAGUGGUACCAUACUUUUAAGCUUCCCUGCCUUCCUCGUACCCUUGCAUCCAAGUGGAGAGAGACAAGCAUAGACUGUCAGGGCUGCCUGUAGUCCUUCCACCAUCUCCCUUGGCUCCUCACUUCAGGCUGUCCAGGGGGUUCGGUAUCUCACUCCAGUUUUGGGGUUAGCCACUGAUUCCAAGCAGAAGGGUAAAGGGAGGUGAUUCAGGAAGCAGGGAGGGAAUGUGACUGCUACACUGAGUUAAUCCUGACACAGGUACCAUGUGGGUGGUGUUUGUUCCUGCCUGGACAGUGCCCUGCAGUCACGGCCAUGUGUCCUGCUGGUGCUCAAGAUGGUGGCAAUACCAGCAGGCAGCACAGAUCUCCAGUCCUAGCAGUUGGUGCCAAACAUCAGUUUUUCUGUCAGUCCUACACAAUCAGAGGCUGUGGUUUUCAUGUCUGAAGAAGCUGAUAGAUACACUGUGCAGCCAUAUUGAGACCCAUGCUUUCUACUGCCUCACAGGUGUGUUUUCUGCUUUCAGCUGGGCUUCAGCCUGGAGCCUCUCCUCGGAUUUCUGACUCUAGGUAGGGUUGUGCUGCUUGAAGUGUUCCUCUCUGUUUGCAUGUAGUACAGUUAAAGUCUUUUUUCCAGCAGCACAAUGUUGGAUGGAUGUUGGAUGGAGAUAAUUUCUUCACAAGACAUCACGAUUUUCACCAGGACCGAUCCUUUCAGUUCUGUCCUAGUCUGGUUUCUGUCAUGGGGUGCAAAUAUUCCUGUUGACAGUCUGUGUCUGUCUGCUGGGUCCUCUCUACUUUGCAUAUCCUGUGUCUGCCAGCAGGUGCCAUCAAAACUAAUCACAUGUCAGAAGCUACAUAGAAUCAUAGAAUAUCCUGAUUUGGAAGGGACCCACAAAAAUCAUCAAAGGCUGGCUCCUGUCCCAGCACACGACCACCCCAAAGAGUUACACCAUGUACCUCAGAACAUUCUCCAAACGUUUCUUGAACUCUGUCAGGCUUGGUGCUGUGACCACUUCCCUGAGGAUCUUUUUCUAGUGCCCAACCACCCUCUGAGUGAUGAAUCUUUUCCUAAUACCCAGCUCUCACAGAGCUUCAGGCCAUUCCCUCAAGUCCUUGUCACUGGUCACCAGAGAGAGAGGAGAUCAGUACCUGCCCCUCCUCUUCCCCUCAUGAGGAAGUAUAUAUUUGUGGGGGAUGGACAGUUCUGAUUAUUUUGCACUUUCUCUCCUUUUCUCCACAUCAAAGUCAGAAAGGGGAAGAAGUGAUCAAGGAUAGACUAAAAAUGAUUGAAAGAAUGGGUAAAGAACACGUGAGUUUGAUGUCGGGUUGAAAACAUCUUACUGAACAAGUAUGGAAAGAAUUAGCCAAAGCCACCUCUGUGUAAUUAACAGCUAUCUCAGAUAAGAAGGGCUGGUCACUGUGGUACCAGUUAGUCCUGGACCUGCUGGAUGCCUGGACUGCCACCCAUCUGCUAGCUGAGCAGGGAGUCACUUGUGCUCUCCUUUCCUAGUCUGUGCCUCACAGGGAUAUUUGAGAAUGCCACCUGAGGAUAAGUGGUUAUUUUAUGUGCAGGGCUUAUGUGCUUCACCAAGAAGCAACUUUUUCAUGCAUAUAUGUGAGGCAUAUGAAAAACAAUUGGCUGUAAAUCCUGGAGCUCAGAUGUAUGCAUCAGAGACUUCUCUUGCUGCUAAAGGUAAUUUUUUUCUGAUAAACACAUCCUUUCUUAAGUUGUGUGCUUCCCACAAUACUUAUCUCCAGGAAUAAGAGCUGUUGAAGAGUGCUCUGAUAGUUAAGUGUAGGCUGUGUGGGGCAUUUCAAACUUGUAAGUACCUCUUGUAAUAGGCACCCAUCUGCAGAGGAAUAAUAAGAAAGCAUGCAAUUCUGAUCUGUUUACUGAAUGUAGGCUGGUUUCUUGUCUUCUAUUCCCAUUGACUCGAGGUGAAGUUGAUGAUCUUUCACUUGCAAUUCAUGGGCCUCAAGCUCCCCAUGCACUGAGAUCCACAGAAAAACAGGCAUCUGAAGACAAUGUAAUUGUCUGUACAGUGAGGCUUUGAUGCUGACCUUGACCUUUCCAUUGUCAGGUGUGAGAUAGUAGUAUUUACUUCAAACACUGCUCCUUGUUUGAAUUUUGCUAGAAACUGUAUGAAGUCCAGUGACUUUGGCCCUGAUGAAGGAAACCCUUUCUCUUCACUAGGAAUGGAAUUUUUUAAUCGCCUCUAUAAGCAGUACAGAGAGACAUGUCCCUGUGCAGGGAGUCAUUCGUGCCCUUGUGUUGUGAGCAAGAUUACACGAGUAGCUCAGGUGCCUCUUUUCUGGGUGGCCAAAACUAGGUGAAAUAAAUCCCACCUGAGUGUUAGCUAACUGGUGGGAUGACCCUGGAGGUGGUGCCAUCAUUACAUAUCAUGAUGGUAGAGCAGCAUCUGUCCUGCUGAGUAGCUCUGAACUUGCUAGCCUGGCCUGUGCAAAGGCACUGCCUGGGGCCUGAGGCAGAGAGAGGGACAAUGAAGAAGGUGAGGUUGCUGAUGGUGCCUCAAGGAGAAGGCUGAUGGUCAGGAGAUGGUGGUUACUGAGAAUCUCAGGAGGCAGACCCAGGAUGAGGGUGCAGGUAGGAAGUGACAGUGAAGACUGCUGUUAAAUACCUUCUUUUGCAGUGCAUGUUUUCCUCCAGUGAACAGCAAGUAUCUGUCUCCAGCCAACUUUUCUGACUUGCUUUCCAUAUAUUUUUGUGCAGCCAAAGUUUACCCAGCAAUUAUUAAUAUUAAGCAAAUUUGAAGUUUGCUGUCAGCAAACACUCUCAGCAGAGACUGGAGUAUUAGUGCCUCCUUCUGUGGCUGAGCUGAGAAGAAAGGGUCUCAGGAGGUCUGUGGAGCACAUACAGCAGAGCAGCAGUUUGCACAGUGGAAGCUUUUAAAAUGCAUGACAUUUUGGGAGAAGUUUUUCAGAUUGUAAUGUCCAAAUAUCUCCAAUCUGCUUAUGGGCAAGACAUAACCAGAAUACAAAGGAAGAUUUGUCAGAUGGUAAGGGUUCAGAGGCUGUUGCAAAGAAUAGGGUGGGGUUUUUAUCUCUUUGUUGUGGUAGAUGGGAUGAAAAGCAACAUGAGCCAAUUGCAGCAAAUAAAGAGAUUCAGGUUAGAUAGUGAAUAAAGCUUUCUGUUGCUGAAGGAAAUGAAGCAGGGAAAUUGGCUGUCUGAGGUAGAUGAGGUAUCUCCAUCACUGGAGAGCUCUGAGAACAGAUUGAACAAAUAUUUGUCUGAAGUGACAUAGCUGUAGGUGACCCUGCCUUGAGGCUAGGGAAUGGAUGAGGCCCUUCCAGCCUUAUGAUCUUCUCCUUCUGAGAUGGAUUAUCUAAUUCAGAUGAGUCUGUUGGAAUAAACACCACAACAAUGUGUUUGUCAGACUGUUGGACCACUGUGAGUACAAAUAGUCAGCCCAACAGACAUGAGUUUACUGCUUCACAUUUAAUUGAAGUUUAUUUCCUAGAAUGGAGCAAGGGAUGGAGAAAUCUAUUUAGGAAGCCUAUUCUAAAAAGUGUGAGUGUAACACUUGCUGCUUCUAAUAUUGCAUACUGGCUCAUACAGCACUAGAAUUUUUAAAGAACUGAGCAGAAGAUGGGAGGGUUGGUUAUUUUUCAAGUGUGAGUUACUCUAUUCAGGACCUGAGUGGUGUACAACAGACUUGUGUGAAUUGCAGCAUCUUCCUGAUACUGCUGGUGCACGAUGCCUCUUCCCUGCAUGCUACUUGUGCUUCCCUUGCUGUGUUCCCUUCUCUCACUAGAUUUUUGAACAGAACCUAGGGUGACAUGAUGUAUUUUUACAGAAGCCACCUGGACCAAAGCUGUGUUCAGGGUGGUUAGCUGGCUGAGCAAGUACCACUCCCAGUAUCCAGUCAGCUUCCACCCCCUCAGCAUCUGCUCCCCACAGUUUCCCAUGGUGCGUGUGCUGCAGUUUGGUCACAGUGAUCUAGGCAGCCUCCUCAGUUCUCUGUGGUUUUGUAGUUAGUGCCAGCUGGCCUUUGGCCACCAAAAUCUGUGCUUGACAGCAUCAGCUGGGAAGUGACAACAAGGCUGGUCUCCCAGGGAAAACGAUGGUUGCUGGGAUGACAGAAGUGCUGGUAAAAUCGGCGUCAUCAUCACUACACCCUAGGUGUCAGUAUAGGUACACGUGUUGGAGGAAGAGCAGGGUUCCAGAGUAUGCCAGCACCACAUCCUGUGAGAGAUUUUUUGAGUGAAUUUGGCAGUGAAUGGUGAGGCCUCAGUCUAAAGAAAUUGUGAUUGCAAUAACCACUGCUUCACUUGGAGGGAUGUCCAGUCCCAAGAGCUCCAAAACAGUCAGACACAUUGCUGACAUGGGGGAGUGGUGAUCCUGGGCUGGGACAGGGGCAGCGAGCUGCAGAGGCAGCAGAUGACAGCAUGACUUGCAGGCUUCUGUGGUAAGGGUGCUGAUGGUUAGCACCUGCCUGGGGCAGGGGGGAUGGGUUACUGGUGUGAGCUUUCAGAAGGAAGCAGUUUCCUGUAUCUAUAUGGGGACUGGGGCUGGGCAUUGGUGAGCUGCCACUACAAGGCUGCUGGCUACUCUGCUCUGAGCCCAGGACCAUGAAGAUCCACAUCCUCAGGUGAGUGGCCUGGCACUCUUCUGAAUCAGGAGUACAGGAUAGUCCCAACAGGGCACUUGUGUUGUCUGUACUGGCCAAGACAUAGUAGAUUUACAAUUGAUGGCAACAGCUCUCGUCAAUGGGCCGUACUUCUGGUGUGUGAAAGACUGGCUGGUGUUGAUGCUGGGGCUCCAGCUCUUAAAAUAGCCCUGCAGUGCAAAUAACAGAAUUGUGGCAAGCCCCCUGUGCCUGGGAUAUGCAAGGAUCACCUGCUGCUUUUCUCUCCCUUUUUGAGCAGGUGGGGAGGCCAACACAGCAAGACCAGGAGUCUGUGGGUAGGCACAAGCUUCUGACUGGAGAUGAGACAAGGAACUUACUGGAGUGUUAAAACACCUGUGGAGAUGCUUCUGUGACUGGUAUUACCCUGUCUGUGAUAGUGCAUGAUCACAUCAUGCAUUCAUGACCACAUCAGUGUUGAUGUAGUCCUGAAGACCUGACAGGACCAGAUGAAACUGUGGACCUGGAGACAAAUCCUCAAACCAUACUGCUCCCCAAAGCACUGGGACUUCUCUCUUGUGCAGCUGAGGAAACUGGGCUGCCCUGGAGGGCAGCAGGCUGGAGCUCACACAUGGAUUUAUUUCUACUGUCAAGCCAAGGAGCUUGCACCAUAUUUUCAUUUCCUGCCUCUGCCUAUAGGCCAAAAGAUAAUUAACAAAUAUUUCAACAACACAGAUACACUAUCAGAUAAAAAAACGCUGUCAAUAAAAACUGUGUUAACACAGCCCCAUGUGUAUCACAUGACCUUGUGAGCAGAGAAGCUGUACUGUCUUACCUCUCAACAAUUACUUUUAAGCCUCUCUUUUUGUGUGUGUAUGCAGAAACUUAUUCUUAUCUCCAAAUUUUGGAAUUAGGUGACCUGAAAGACUGGCCUUGUUUGCCUCCCUUUUCUCCAGCACAUUCAUACAUUCAUUACAAAAAGGUGGCUAUUUUUUUCAUCUGAACAUAUUUUUUCACCUUUAUUUCCCUGGAUAGCCUUGCUGUUUCCAGAACCCUGUUGAUUUACACAACAAACUUGAAAAUGUGCAGUAAAAAUUCUUUUAUGUGAUUCAAAGACAGACCAAAGCAGGUGCUUAGUUGGAAAGAGAAUUCUCUUCCCCUAAGAAACGGACUUUUCACAGAGAGUGUGGGAUAUUUUUAAAAGACUGUUUUUAAAAGGUCAAAGUAGAAAACUCAUUCUUGCAUGACCGUGUUUCAAUGCUCAAGUGCAGUUGCCUGCAGGAGUCCAAGCUCCCUUUGGAGAUAUUGAAAAUCUAGGGCUUACCUCCACUGUCCACAGCUAGGCAUCUACUGAUACCUGAGGUGCCCUAAAAUAUCCUGCUGUUGUUUGCAGGUCUGUGGGGCCUGUGUCAUGCCUGGGUGCAGCUGUAUCUUCCAGGAUGAAGUGAAUCACAGCCCCUGGUUCCGAAGGCUGUGUUGGACAAAUCCCUCUUGGAGGUAAAGGGAGCAGGCAAACCCAGCACACCUAUAGGUAUUUCUAUACAUCUAAAUUUUGUGUUUUCAUAAGCAGCCAUAUCCUGUCCCAUCUGUCUCCAUUCCAGACAGUCUCUGGUAUCUCUCUGGUGCUCCCAAUCUCAGUCUCAUGAAGCUGGGGUUAUGAUGCAGCCGUGAUGAUUUGGUAUUUCAAUACAUUUUGUAUGCUGGCAAAGAGUAACUGAGCUUUCUUCUUUUUAGGCAGAAGGGUAAGUGAAAUGAUCAUAACUUUCUUUUUUUUGUCUUUAGAAAACAAAGCAUUCAUGAUUUGGACACCAAAAAGCUUUGAAUCCCAAGAAAGCCAACUACUACAUUUCCUGAGCUAGCAAGAAAAUGAGCUUCUUGUAAGGCAAAAUGUAGCAAUUACGUUGGCAGGAAUUCGAAAGAUAAGUGGCAAAGCUACUUUAGCGCCAAAGAGAGGUCUUACAUCUAUGGAAGUAUUUGAUUUUUGCUUUUAAUUAAUGUAGCUUCUUAAGAUGCUUACUUGUCAAUCAAGUCACCUUACAUAUAAUUGUAGAUAGGUUAAAAAGGUCAUGAAAUGGUGGGUUACAAAGAAGAAUGGAAAGACUUAUGUGAAGAACUGUGUGACUAGCAGACCUGAUGAGCUGUGGAAACAACUUGUAUUUUAAGUUGGUUGAAAGCCAGAAAGCUACCACUGGAAAGUAUUCAGUGUAAAGUAACAGGGAACAAUAGAGCAUGGAGUCAGUUCAUCAACCUAAGUGAAAGCCUGUAGGAAAGAUUCAUCUCCGGAACACCCCUGGCUGUUUCCUUCUAUUUUGCUCAAAAUUCCCUUUAAAAAUAAUGAUUUUCAUGAUCUGUUUGAUUAUUAGGCUUGUGCAUGUUCAUUUUUGAUAACACUUUGGCAAGUUACAUAUCUAACAAAUGAUGUUUGAAGCCUGUUUGUGAAGUACACCCUCCUAAUAAACAGAACUUACUGGUUAACUUAAUAAACAGUAACUUUCCUUUUUCAGACAAAACUCCCCUCGGGGUACUGUAGCUCUGACACAGACACUUGUCCUCACUACAGAGCAGGCUGGGUGUUUAGGAGUAUUUCUGAGGAUGACUGGCUUAUGGCCAUCCUGAGAAAUGGAAUUUCAGUGUGAGUGCCAGGCAUGAAGCUGCUGCCUUCCCACUGCCUGUCCCAGCUCAGAGAGGUGACGUCCAUGACCCCAAUGUGCACAGGGGCUGUGCUUUUGAACCCAGGGGUUGUGCCUGGUGGGGUUGAUUGCUGGCUGCCUCUUCAAAUCAAACUCUUCAGUGAUGCUCCUAAAAAUAUGUGAUCUCAGUUGCAAUGGGGAAAACAAAGUCAAACUCAGUACAGGUAAAAGUGUUUUUUCUUUAGCUUAUAGCACGUGAGACACCCAGAUGCACAGACUCUACCCAACUUCCUUGGGAUCCACAGCCCCAUGGCAAAGUCCAUUGCAGCUGGAUGAAUAUGGAACAGUCUUUGGCAGGAGGUUCACUUCCAUACCUUUGUUUUCCCUGCAGCGUGUUAUCUCCACCCUGCAACCACACUCAUGUGCAGAGGAAGGCAAUGCUCAGCAGCUGUGAAUUAAACCCAGACUCGAGCUGUGUCAUUGCUCAGCCAGAGCAUCCCUGGUUACUAGAUGCCGCUGUGGUGCUGAGGAAGGCUGCCGAGGAAAAGGAGGAGAGAGAGAUGAACAGGAGGGAAAAUUAAUGAACAGGAUUCACAGACCAAGAUACAGUGAAAUGAGGAGGAAAGAAAAGUGAUUAAGAAGGAGUUUUACCAUAUCAGAAGUGGUUCUGAGAAGGAAAAAACCCAUCAGCUGCAAGGAACAGGAGAGAUGUGGAAAGAUCAUCGAGGUGAUAAGGACAAAGCUUGCAGAGAAGAGAGUUGUGGUUGCCUGUGGCACAGGCAGAAGAGCAGAAACUGAGUGAAACCUGAGUAAUCUGUGCAGGGACAGGUCCCUCAAAGCAAAGAUACAGGUCCAUAAAAUGAUAAUAGGAUGGUCAAUUUUAAUGUGGAAGAAAGGGAAUGAAAGGAUAGAAUACAGAAGAAAAGCAACAAGAUAAAAAAAUAGGUAUUAAUGUUUGCUAGUAGGGAACCCAAAGGCAUCUGGAGGAGGCAACUGCAACAGCAGCUUCAGAAGGACAGCUGGAGAUAAACCUCCCCAACUCAGGCAGGGAGUCCUGAAAGAAGAAUCCCACUCCAUGUGGGCAAGCAGCAGGUCAUGCUUUUGUCACCUUCAGACUUGGUUUAUGCUCAGCUUGUGGCACUGCAUCAUUCCAGCCAAAUGCUUUCCCUCACCAAUAGGGAUGUCAUUCCUCAGUUCCAUUUGCAGUUUAUUACUCACAUAUUACUUACACUUCCUUGAGUCUUGAUAAGAAAAAUUAUUGUCAUCUGGUAAAUUUUCAAAAUAUUUCUAAGAGAUGGCUUCCAGUGCUGUUACAACACUUUUGUUACCUCUAGUAUUUGUUUUGAUGGAUUUGGAGCUGCCAUACUGUAGUUUUCACUGUUCCUGCAUGUCAGGUUGACAAAUGUGGUAUUUCCUCUGUUGUGUAUUGGUGUAAUUCAAAAAGAAUUUGUCCAGAAAAAUGGACAGGGAAGAAAAUUAGGGUGCAAGGCGAGUAAUAAAUAUUUAAAUGGUGCCUAGGAGUUGAUAACGGAAAAUAGCAAAUUCUCAGCUUUGAUUUUGUCCCUUCCCAGACUGAUUUCCAUAACAUUUGAAUCAGAAAAUUUUAACUUCUAUAUGCACAAAAGACAGGAUACAAAGGACUCUUUGUCUCUCAGGACAGGGGAAUUAGGUCUGUGAAGGACUCCCAGAGCAAGAAAUCCUACCAGAGCUCCUGACCAUAGGUUAAGUGGGCAAGAUUGCCAUUACAAAUUGUGAGAUGACCACAAGGCAUAUGUUCAGACUGCUAUUUAAAAUAAAUUAUUUUACUGUUUUUUUCCCUGAUAUGCAGAAAUAAUUAGGUUUUAGCUGAUGUUUUAAAAUUUUUGUAUAUUGCUGAGCUGCUGAGAAGAUGUCCAGUUGUCUAAGCUGGUGGGGGUAAGAUCCAUAGACCCUUGGAGUUGUGCACCACAGGAUUCAGGUGAAGUGUGGCACAAGUGAAUAAUACCAGCCCAGAACUGACUAAGGCACAAGGCCUGAAGAAAUAGGGUUAGAGGUAUUGAAAGUGUGACCACUCAGAUGUACAGUUAGUUUCACAAGUAUAACACUUGCUAGCUGCAUCCUCUCAAUUGCCAAACGAUCUGCACAGGUGUCUGCCCAACACCUUGAAUGUAAAUAUGGAAUCUUACACACAGAGAGCCACUUAAACGAUUUCUUUGGGUUAUGAAAUGGGAUCCUUUCUAGACGCA
Molecule: long non-coding RNA, 13658 nt
Organism: Prinia subflava (tawny-flanked prinia)
Lineage: Eukaryota; Metazoa; Chordata; Aves; Passeriformes; Cisticolidae
Exons: 6
Source: RefSeq, a predicted model, not a curated record